GAUGAAGAACGUAGCGAAAUGCGAUACGUAGUGUGAAUUGCAGAAUUCAGUGAAUCAUCGAAUCUUUGAACGCACAUUGCACCUCUCGGUAUUCCGGGAGGUAUGCCUGUUCGAGCGUCAUUUGUACCCUCAAGCUCUGCUUGGUGUUGGGUGUUUGUUCCGCCUCUGUGUGUGAACUCGCCUCAAAACAAUUGGCAGCCGGCGUACUUGUUUCGGAGCGCAGCACAUUUUGCGAUCCAGAUCAACGUACAGCGGCAUCCAAGAAGCCUUAUUUAACGCUCUUGACCUCGGAUCAGGUAGGGAUACCCGCUGAACUUAAGCAUAUCAAUAAGCAGGA
Molecule: unclassified non-coding RNA, 337 nt
Filed under: soil metagenome
Description: partial contains 5.8S ribosomal RNA, internal transcribed spacer 2, and large subunit ribosomal RNA
Rfam family: 5.8S ribosomal RNA (bases 1-120)
Source: RNAcentral